Xanthomonas fragariae is the source of this 77-nucleotide non-coding RNA. The record is from Rfam. NCBI's taxonomy places the organism in Bacteria, Pseudomonadati, Pseudomonadota, Gammaproteobacteria, Lysobacterales, Lysobacteraceae.
AUGUACCACUCGUCCACUGCGGUUCUGAGCGCGCCGUCCGCACUCCACUAACGACUGCUCGCUAGGUGUUGUUAGCC